RNAcentral lists this ribosomal RNA (654 nucleotides) under Triticum aestivum (bread wheat). RNAcentral's name for it is "partial small subunit ribosomal RNA". The record is from RNAcentral. Lineage: Eukaryota; Viridiplantae; Streptophyta; Magnoliopsida; Poales; Poaceae.
AUGAGUGGUGGUGACAGCGGAAGUGACAAGGCUCACCGCGCCUUCGACAAGAACAACACCGCUGCUGUGAACCGCGAGUACUCCUCCUCUGGUACUAUCGCUCCCCCUUGUGAUGCUUGUCAGAUCUGCCAUCUACCUGGGAAUUUUACUGUUAGAUGCCCUCAGGCUUUCUGUGAGAGAUGUAAGAAGAGAGGUCACCUGUCUUUUGUCUGUAAUGAGUUCUUCCCUUGGGAUCACACACCUGUGAUGUGUGCCUUUCAAUCUAAGGGUCAGGGUUUCUUUUACAUUCCUGAUUACAGCGUGGAUAGGCAGAGUAGGGAAAAUGUUUUCAAUAUUGUUGUCACCAUUACUGAUGGCUCUUCUUAGACCAAAAAUAUUGAGCACGAGUUGAGUGUGUACGUUGGUCAGGGGUGGCGUUGCUCUGCUAGAUUUUUUGCUCCACAAAAGUUUGUCAUGAGGAUGCUGAACCCUAGAGAGGUUGACAGAGCUCUUUUUGUUGAAAAUAUUAAGCUAAAAAAAUGUGGGGUUAGUGUCAAGUUCUCUCCUUGGUCUGAAGAUAUUGAGUCUGAGGGACUGUUAGAGAUUGCAUGGGUUAAAAUUGGAAAAAUUCCACCUAACAAGAGAUGUGACAGAACUGUUGCUUAUGUGGGAGGG